This 72-nucleotide small nucleolar RNA is filed under the name Choloepus hoffmanni (Hoffmann's two-fingered sloth). RNAcentral describes it as "Small nucleolar RNA SNORD112 (ENSCHOG00000016045.1)". Lineage: Eukaryota; Metazoa; Chordata; Mammalia; Pilosa; Megalonychidae. The record is from RNAcentral.
UAGACUGAUGAUGAGAGUAUGUCAUGAAGUAAGGAUUAAGGUCAAUCCAAUUCUGAGCAAUUGAGAUCCAAA